AUUGAACGCUGGCGGCAUGCCUUACACAUGCAAGUCGAACGGUAACAGGUCUUCGGAUGCUGACGAGUGGCGAACGGGUGAGUAAUACAUCGGAACGUGCCCGAUCGUGGGGGAUAACGGAGCGAAAGCUUUGCUAAUACCGCAUACGAUCUACGGAUGAAAGCAGGGGACCGCAAGGCCUUGCGCGGACGGAGCGGCCGAUGGCAGAUUAGGUAGUUGGUGGGAUAAAAGCUUACCAAGCCGACGAUCUGUAGCUGGUCUGAGAGGACGACCAGCCACACUGGGACUGAGACACGGCCCAGACUCCUACGGGAGGCAGCAGUGGGGAAUUUUGGACAAUGGGCGCAAGCCUGAUCCAGCCAUGCCGCGUGCAGGAUGAAGGCCUUCGGGUUGUAAACUGCUUUUGUUACGGAACGAAAAGACUCUUUCUAAUAAAGAGGUCCAUGACGGUACCGUAAGAAUAAGCACCGGCUAACUACGUGCCAGCAGCCGCGGUAA
This 498-nucleotide ribosomal RNA is filed under the name uncultured bacterium. RNAcentral's name for it is "bacterial SSU rRNA". It matches the Rfam family "Bacterial small subunit ribosomal RNA", at positions 30 to 523 of the family's 1533-position model. The record is from RNAcentral.